GGGCAUUUGGUCUAGUGGUAUGAUUUUCGCUUUGGGUGCGAGAGGUCCCGAGUUCAAUUCUCGGAAUGCCCC
RNAcentral lists this transfer RNA (72 nucleotides) under Eutrema salsugineum. It matches the Rfam family "tRNA". Rfam says of the family: Transfer RNA (tRNA) molecules are approximately 80 nucleotides in length. Lineage: Eukaryota; Viridiplantae; Streptophyta; Magnoliopsida; Brassicales; Brassicaceae. The record is from Rfam by way of RNAcentral.